Molecule: small RNA, 544 nt
Filed under: Pongo abelii (Sumatran orangutan)
Lineage: Eukaryota; Metazoa; Chordata; Mammalia; Primates; Hominidae
Description: retained intron
Source: RNAcentral
CAACAGUUAGGGAAAUGAUGCUAGAGCACUUUAAAAAUCAGCAGGACAACCCUGAGGCAAACUGGAAGUUGCCUGAAGAUUUUGCUGUGGUGUUUGGAGAAGCAGAGGGUGAACUUGCUGUUGGAGGAGUCUUCUUGAGGAUCUUUAUUGCACAGCCAGCCUGGGUUCUAAGAAAGCCUAGAGAAUUUCUUAUUGCACUGUUAGAAAAAUUAACUGAGCUCCUAGAGAAGAACAAUCCUCAUGUAAGCUUCAGUCAAAAGCAAAACAUUUCAAAGACUUGGCUAACUAGACUGAUGGUGUUUCUCUUACAACCUUAUUCACAAAGACCAUGAAUUAGGAAUUGGCCGGCUCUUUCAAUAUAGCAGCCACAUUUAAAUUCAGAUAUGCCCCUCGAUCAUUUUUUUGCCAUGUUCAAAAGUGAAGCUCUUUAGUAUGUUUAUGAACCAAAGUUAGAGAUCUCUAUAUUGAGAGGAUGCCAUUUCUAACAAUUACAGAAGCCCUAAAAGAAGGUUUUUACUGUCCAUCUCUAAUGAAUAUGUAAUUU